GCCUGGCUGGCUCAGUCAGUAAAGCAUGUGACUCUUGAUCUCAGGGUUGUGGGCUUGAGACCCAUGUUGGGUG
RNAcentral lists this transfer RNA (73 nucleotides) under Mustela putorius furo (domestic ferret). It matches the Rfam family "tRNA". Rfam says of the family: Transfer RNA (tRNA) molecules are approximately 80 nucleotides in length. Their secondary structure includes four short double-helical elements and three loops (D, anti-codon, and T loops). Lineage: Eukaryota; Metazoa; Chordata; Mammalia; Carnivora; Mustelidae. The record is from Rfam by way of RNAcentral.